Molecule: ribosomal RNA, 636 nt
Filed under: bacterium
Lineage: Bacteria
Description: bacterial SSU rRNA
Rfam family: Bacterial small subunit ribosomal RNA
Source: RNAcentral
UGAUUUUAGUGCUUGCACUAAAUGAAACUAGAUACAAGCGAGCGGCGGACGGGUGAGUAACACGUGGGUAACCUGCCCAAGAGACUGGGAUAACACCUGGAAACAGAUGCUAAUACCGGAUAACAACACUAGACGCAUGUCUAGAGUUUGAAAGAUGGUUCUGCUAUCACUCUUGGAUGGACCUGCGGUGCAUUAGCUAGUUGGUAAGGUAACGGCUUACCAAGGCAAUGAUGCAUAGCCGAGUUGAGAGACUGAUCGGCCACAUUGGGACUGAGACACGGCCCAAACUCCUACGGGAGGCAGCAGUAGGGAAUCUUCCACAAUGGACGAAAGUCUGAUGGAGCAACGCCGCGUGAGUGAAGAAGGGUUUCGGCUCGUAAAGCUCUGUUGGUAGUGAAGAAAGAUAGAGGUAGUAACUGGCCUUUAUUUGACGGUAAUUACUUAGAAAGUCACGGCUAACUACGUGCCAGCAGCCGCGGUAAUACGUAGGUGGCAAGCGUUGUCCGGAUUUAUUGGGCGUAAAGCGAGUGCAGGCGGUUCAAUAAGUCUGAUGUGAAAGCCUUCGGCUCAACCGGAGAAUUGCAUCAGAAACUGUUGAACUUGAGUGCAGAAGAGGAGAGUGGAAUUCCAUGUGUA